This 211-nucleotide unclassified non-coding RNA is filed under the name Hevea brasiliensis (rubber tree). The record is from RNAcentral. Lineage: Eukaryota; Viridiplantae; Streptophyta; Magnoliopsida; Malpighiales; Euphorbiaceae.
GACUACCCCACUCUUCAGAAAUGUAGUCACAAUCUUCUCCACAUUUGCAGCUUCAGUUCUAUUCAGAUAGGAAGUUCCACUAGCACUAAUCUCCUCUUGUCCCAUCUGAACAUAGAAGAACAUGGGACGGUUCGGCACAGGCCAAGGAAAAUCAAUUCCUGAUGAUAGUCUUUCAUUGACGGUUACACCAUUUUGAAGUGUACCUUCAUAA